RNAcentral lists this ribosomal RNA (498 nucleotides) under uncultured bacterium. Its description in RNAcentral is "partial 16S ribosomal RNA". It matches the Rfam family "Bacterial small subunit ribosomal RNA", at positions 30 to 523 of the family's 1533-position model. The record is from RNAcentral.
AUUGAACGCUGGCGGCAUGCCUUACACAUGCAAGUCGAACGGUAACAGGUCUUCGGAUGCUGACGAGUGGCGAACGGGUGAGUAAUACAUCGGAACGUGCCUAGUAGUGGGGGAUAACUACUCGAAAGAGUGGCUAAUACCGCAUGAGAUCUACGGAUGAAAGCAGGGGAUCGCAAGACCUUGUGCUACUAGAGCGGCCGAUGGCAGAUUAGGUAGUUGGUGGGAUAAAAGCUUACCAAGCCGACGAUCUGUAGCUGGUCUGAGAGGACGAUCAGCCACACUGGGACUGAGACACGGCCCAGACUCCUACGGGAGGCAGCAGUGGGGAAUUUUGGACAAUGGGCGCAAGCCUGAUCCAGCAAUGCCGCGUGCAGGAUGAAGGCCUUCGAGUUGAAAACUGCUUUUGUACGGAACGAAAAGCCCUGGGUUAAUACCCUGGGGUCAUGACGGUACCGUAAGAAUAAGCACCGGCUAACUACGUGCCAGCCGCCGCAGUAA